Molecule: long non-coding RNA, 1957 nt
Organism: Scophthalmus maximus (turbot)
Lineage: Eukaryota; Metazoa; Chordata; Actinopteri; Pleuronectiformes; Scophthalmidae
Exons: 3
Source: RefSeq, a predicted model, not a curated record
UCACCAACACCAUAAAAACCGGGAAAUGCUGGGCGAGGCCUCUCUCGAACAGAAGACCUGCAUGGUGGCUCUGAACAAAGGAACAAACAAUUCCCAACGUAUCCAACUAUGAACUGAGAGAGAAACAGUGCCUCUUGAGCGAUGCCUUCAGGUACGUCGGUUGAGACGGAUACUUUGGAUGAAACCGAUUACUACAGUUAGCCCAUCUGCACAGGUGACUAUGGGUCACAUCCUGUGUAUGGAGAAGCUACAGACUCUGCAGACCCUCGUACUGAAUGACUUUCCGAUCUUGACUGUCCCUGCAGCAACAAGCAGAAAGCCACGUAACUCAAGAUAUUUACACUUAAAGGAAGAAAACAAAACAUCAACAAUGAAAGUAAGACAGCGAGAUAUGAAAAAUCACAACUCACAGACACCAAAUAAAGCAUUUGGCAACAGCCUCGUGCUGCACCUGUCAAAGAUACGAUCCCAUCCAUAAAUUGAAAUAAUGUAUGAAAGUAACGCUGGAGUUUGUUGUCUGGUGGAUUAAUAAUACAAGGUUCAAUAAUGACCUCUCCACACAAGGCACAUCAGUGUUUCUAUUGGCCCCUGGCGAACGUGAUCGCCCACAGAAGUAGGAAACGCAUGCUUGAGUUCUUCAGUUGGAUGGAUGAUUAUAUAUGACCAAACCUUUAGCUAUAGGUUAAAGCUUUAGGUCAUUCAAUUGGUUCUGUAUUUUUGUCCCAAAUAAAAAUGAUCCGUUUUGGAUCGUUGUUUUUGUAAUGCAGGGUCCUCGUCACAGUUUUUUUUUUUUUUAUAAGUGUCUGAAAUGAUGAAAUAUUCCGAAGUGAUGUUAAAAAAAAUCCUUAUCUUUAAAUACAACACCGACUCGUAGCAACAAGUGGUCACUGAUUAGUCUGCACAAUUUAGCGCUUCAGGCAAAUUCCACUUCACAAUGAAAUGAUGCAAUAAAGAGAAACACUGUUUUCAUUAUCAGUAACUGCUGAUAUCUCAUCUACUGUAUGGGGGUACUGAGAUUUUUCUCUACGGUUACCAGACAUGAGUACCUAAUUAGUAAUCAGUACAAGAGCUCAGUGCUGGUAAAAUAGAAAAAAAAGAUGAUCUGCAGAAUACCUUUCAUUAUUUCUGUUUUUUUUUCCUUUCCUGGCCAAAGUGGGGGCUUUCAACAAAGUGCUGCUAUUCAAAUCAAUACAUCCCUCAUUACAGAAUGAUGAAUAUUUCAUCAGCAAGACUAUUACUUCAAAUGAAUAAUUUAACUGUGUUAUAUCAGUCAGUGUUGGGGGUUCAGUGAUACCCUGGUCCCUCAGCUUUUAAACCCAACCACUCAUUAUGAAGCUCUUUCAAAAAAAACCCUGCAUAACCCCACCAAAAAGGUCUGGGAUUCAGUUCAGAGAUUGUUCUCUCUGAAAAUGCUAGGGGUCGCAGUUGAAACCAAUGACAGUUUAAGUAUCUUCAGCUCCAAUUAGCCAUGACAUAUACAUUGUGUUGGGAGCAUCUCUCUUUCUUAUAAUGAGCUCCAUGCAUGGGUAAAUCCUGCAUGGAUGUAUGGCUUUUGUGCUGAAUUAUAAAUACCAAAACCUCUCACGACCUGAAACAGUAAUCGAUCAAGUAUUCACAGGAUUAAAAGGAAUAACUGGGAUGGAGCAAUUUCCGUGCCGUCAGGUGGAGAUUCACAGCUCUUUUUGUAAUUUGCCUUUCAACUUGGAGAUGGUUGAUCUUCUCCCGCUGUUAUUGUUGUUGUUUUUUAAUACUUGCAAACAGCUUCUUUUUGCCGACAGAUACAAACAGAAUAAAGUGUAGUUAUUUUUCACUUCCUGCUGCCACUUUUUAAUGGAACAUAGAGUAACUGUUACAAUUGAUCAAUUUGAUAAGGCAUCCUUUAAGAUUUCCCUGACUAUUGGCAAGAUCUACUGACUUGGUUGACUUUCAAUGAAAAUUAUUGAUUUCAUUGCUAUUA